Molecule: ribosomal RNA, 460 nt
Filed under: uncultured bacterium
Lineage: Bacteria
Description: partial 16S ribosomal RNA
Rfam family: Bacterial small subunit ribosomal RNA
Source: RNAcentral
CCUACGGGAGGCAGCAGUGAGGAAUAUUGGUCAAUGGACGAGAGUCUGAACCAGCCAAGUAGCGUGAAGGAUGACUGCCCUAUGGGUUGUAAACUUCUUUUAUAUGGGAAUAAAAUGUUUCACGUGUGGGAUUUUGUAUGUACCAUAUGAAUAAGGAUCGGCUAACUCCGUGCCAGCAGCCGCGGUAAUACGGAGGAUCCGAGCGUUAUCCGGAUUUAGUGGGUUUAAAGGGAGCGUAGGUGGUUUUUUAAGUCAGUUGUGAAAGUUUGCGGCUCAACCGUAAAAUUGCAGUUGAAACUGGCAGUCUUGAGUACAGUAGAGGUGAGCGGAAUUCGUGGUGUAGCGGUGAAAUGCUUAGAUAUAACGAAGAACUCCGAUUGCGAAGGCAGCUCACUGGACUGCAACUGACACUGAGGCUCGAAAGUGUGGGUAUCAAACAGGAUUAGAUACCCCUGUAGUC